RNAcentral lists this transfer RNA (88 nucleotides) under Colletotrichum liriopes. Its description in RNAcentral is "tRNA-Lys". The stretch from base 1 to 64 matches the Rfam family "tRNA". Rfam says of the family: Transfer RNA (tRNA) molecules are approximately 80 nucleotides in length. Their secondary structure includes four short double-helical elements and three loops (D, anti-codon, and T loops). Further hydrogen bonds mediate the characteristic L-shaped molecular structure. tRNAs have two regions of fundamental functional importance: the anti-codon, which is responsible for specific mRNA codon recognition, and the 3' end, to which the tRNAs corresponding amino acid is attached (by aminoacyl-tRNA synthetases). tRNAs cope with the degeneracy of the genetic code in two manners: having more than one tRNA (with a specific anti-codon) for a particular amino acid; and 'wobble' base-pairing, i.e. permitting non-standard base-pairing at the 3rd anti-codon position. The record is from RNAcentral. Lineage: Eukaryota; Fungi; Ascomycota; Sordariomycetes; Glomerellales; Glomerellaceae.
UAGCUCAAUCGGUAGAGCGUGAGACUCUUAAUCUCAAGGUUGUGGGUUCGACCCGUAAGCUCAUCCUGAUUCUUCAAUCCCACCAUCA